Triplophysa rosa is the source of this 2333-nucleotide long non-coding RNA. RefSeq lists it as uncharacterized. The transcript is spliced from 3 exons. The record is from RefSeq and is a predicted model, not a curated record. Lineage: Eukaryota; Metazoa; Chordata; Actinopteri; Cypriniformes; Nemacheilidae.
UCUUAUAAAACAUAUGAAGUGUGAGGCCGGUCGGACAUUGCGUGCCUGAGUUACUAUAGCUUCCUGUUUCAUGGCGAAACAUCAAACUUUGUCACGCCUCCACAGACACGCCCCUCAUGAAAAGUCUGGAACUUGCAAUGUAUCAUCACAAAGGUCUAGGAAGUUAUAUUAUAGAAAGACUUUAAUUUAUUUACAUGUACCAGAUUUCCUGUUAUUUAUUUAAAUGUGUCGCAUUCCCUUUUGCCAGCUGGUGGCGCUAUCGCUAAAAGUGAACACCGACAUGGAUAUGUGUUCAGGCCAGGACUCUUAUCAAACAUGUGAAGUGUGAGGCUGGUCGGACAGUGUGUGCCUGAGUUACUAUAGCUUCCUGUUUCAUGGCGAAACAUCAAACUUUUUCAUGCCGCCACGCACAGGUCCCUCAACUAAAAGUCAGGAUCAUAAAAUGUAUCAUCACAAAGGUGGCGCUAUAACAGUAUCUGAAUAUUACCAUGUAGAUGUCUUCAGGCCCGGACUUUUAUCAAAUGUGUGAAGUGUGAGACUGUUCGAACAUUUUGUGCCUGAGAUACUAUAACUUCCGGUUUCAUGGCGAAACAUCAAACUUUGUCAGGCCGCCAUGGACACGCCCCUCAACAAAAAGUCAGGAACUUGCAAUGUAUCAUCACAAAGGUCUGAAGAUCAUACUGGCCAAAUAUAUUGCUGACCUGUUUGAAUCUCUAUGAGUUAAUCACAGUUUAAAACAUGCCCCUUCCUGUUUCCUGCAGGUGGCGCUAUAACUGUAUCUGAAUAUUACCAUGUAGAUGUCUUCAGGCCAGGACUUUUAUCAAAUGUGUGAAGUCUGGGUAAAGUCUGGGGCCUGUUGCACAUUGUAGGCCUGAGUUACAACAACUUCCUGUUCAUGGCGAAACGCCAAACUUUGGAUGGGUCACAUUCCCCCAUGAAAAGUCAGGAUCUCCGCAAUUUACCUCCGCAAAGGCCUUAAGAGUAGAAUGACAUGAAGAUGAUGUUGAUCGGAUUAAAACUCUAGGAGGAGUUCGCUAAAGUACGACGACUGGAAAUUGAAACAAAUUACAAAAUUGCACAGGAAAUCAAAAAUAACGGACUUCCUGUUGGGUUUAGAGAUAUGCUCCAAGAGACUUUUCUUAAUGAUUCGGGGAGUUCUAUCAACCUACCAAAUUUGGUGCAUGUACGUAUUGCGUAGUGGCCUGGGCAGUUCUAGGUGGCGCUAGCGAGCCAUUUUGCCACGCCUAAUUUUAAAACCCAUAUCAGACAUACAUUUUUGCAAGGUCUGAUGCGUGUGCAAAUUAUUGUGAGUUUUUGAGCAUGUUUAGGCCUUCAAAUUAGCGAUCGAAGAAGAAGAAGAAGAAGAAGAAUAAACAACAGAAACAAAAGGGCUCUGCACUACGGUGCAAGCCGGUGGCUUGCUACUCCGUGCUCGGGCCCUAAUAAUAAUUAAAGCUGCGAGCAGUGAUGAUCGGGCCCUCGCCGAAAGUGCCACCGCAACCCGAUUGCAUAAGGAAAACAGCGAAUGCUGGUGGCGCUAUUGCUAUAAGUGAACACUGACAUGGAUAUGUGUUCAGGCCAUGACUCUUAUCAAACAUGUGAAGUGUGAGGCCGGUCAGACAUUGUGUGCCUGAGUUACUCUAGCUUCCUGUUUCAUGGCGAAACAUCAAACUUUGUCACGCCUCCACGGACACGCCCCUCAACGAAAAGUCAGGAACUUGCAAUGUAUCGUCACAAAGGUCUAGGAAGUUAUAUUAUAGAAAGACUUUAAUUUAUUUACAUGUACCAGAUUUCCUGUUAUUUAUUUAAAUGUGUCACAUUCCCUUUUGCCAGCUGGUGGCGCUAUUGCUAUAAGUGAACACUGACAUGGAUAUGUGUAAUCGUAGGCGAUAAAAUUAAUGCAGGCGAAUUAUAGUUGGAUUUGUUAUUUAUUUAAAUGUGUUACAUUCCCUUUAGCAUAGCUUCCUGUUUCAUGGCGAAACAUCAAACUGUGUCAGGCCGCCACAGACACGCCCCUCAAAGAAAAGUUAGGAUCUUGAAAUGUAUCGUCACAAAGGUCUGAAGAUCAUACUGGCCAAAUAUGAUGCUGACUUGUUUGAAUCUGUAUGAGGAGUAAAUCUGUCAUGGUUCUGCCUCAUCUUGUCUUGCUUUUCUUGAGCUAGUGGCAGAACCAUGACAGAACCUCUUGUUUCAUGUGUCACGAUCAAAGAGGGAGAAGAACACAGAAACAAUAGGGCUCUGCACUGCGGUGCAAGCCUGCAGCUUGCUCCUUCGUGCUCGGGCCCUAAUAAUAAACAACACAGAAACAAAAGGGCUCUGCACUACGGUGCAAG